Molecule: non-coding RNA, 572 nt
Organism: Arachis ipaensis
Lineage: Eukaryota; Viridiplantae; Streptophyta; Magnoliopsida; Fabales; Fabaceae
Source: RefSeq, a predicted model, not a curated record
GUAGAUGUCGUUUUCUCUCUCUCUCUCUCUCUCUCUUCGAAUUGCAGAUUCUCUCUCAUCCACCAAUUCAUGUAUCUGUAUUUAACUAUUUAUUGACUCUAUCUAUUUCAAAUCUAAAAUCAGAAUAUUCGAAUUUCACCGCUUCGAAACCCUUCCGUUUAUCGCUUUAUCCCCAAAUUCUGAAAUCCAAAUAAUCUUCGCUGUUCUCAAGUAAUCUCUCCUUCAUCACAGCACCAAGCAAUCUUCGUCGUCUUCAUUUCUCUGUCACUAGGCAAAGACGAAAACUAGGGUUUGUAGCUGUAGUUCUCAUCAUUUGAAGAUAAUUCACUAUGAAGUUCCUGGAGUGUCCUUCCUUGGAUCGGUAUUUGUAGUUUCAAACGAAUUUGAGUUAAAUUAUGGAAUUUUAUUACAUAAUUUUGGUAUAUUGCAAGAGUCUCGUGAAACUUGUCCAGGCUUAACGAUUUUUUGGUGAUUUGAAUUUGGGAGAACGUAAUAUCAGAGGAUGUCUUGAAGCAUAUACUUGUAAGGACUAAUUAGUGACUUUUAAGUUUCAACAGAAUUGAUUUUGGAUU